UCAGAAUCAACGCUGGCGGCGUGCCUAACACAUGCAAGUCGAACGCGAAAGUGGCUUCGGCCGCGAGUAGAGUGGCAAACGGGUGAGUAACACGUGGGUGACCUGCCUUCGAGUGGGGGAUAACGUCUCGAAAGGGGCGCUAAUACCGCAUAACAUCCUGCCUUUAAACAGGUGGAGAUCAAAGCCGGGGACCGCAAGGCCUGGCGCUUGGAGAGGGGCCCGCGCCGGAUUAGCUAGUUGGUGAGGUAACGGCCCACCAAGGCGACGAUCCGUAGCCGGCCUGAGAGGGCGGACGGCCACACUGGGACUGAGACACGGCCCAGACUCCUACGGGAGGCAACAGUGGGGAAUUGUUCGCAAUGGGCGCAAGCCUGACGACGCAACGCCGCGUGGAGGAUGAAGAUCUUCGGAUCAUAAACUCCUGUCGAGUGGGACGAACGGCCCGGGACCUAACACGUUCCGGGAGUGACGGUACCGCUAAAGGAAGCCCCGGCUAACUCCGUGCCAGCAGCCGCGGUAAUACGGGGGGGGCCAGCGUUGUUCGGAAUUACUGGGCAUA
Molecule: ribosomal RNA, 559 nt
Filed under: uncultured Geobacter sp.
Lineage: Bacteria; Pseudomonadati; Thermodesulfobacteriota; Desulfuromonadia; Geobacterales; Geobacteraceae
Description: bacterial SSU rRNA
Rfam family: Bacterial small subunit ribosomal RNA
Source: RNAcentral